GGGCCGUUAGUUCAGUUGGUAGAAUACUUCCAUGGCAUGGAAGAGAUCACCGGUUCGAGUCCGGUACGGUCCA
Molecule: transfer RNA, 73 nt
Filed under: Candidatus Microgenomates bacterium
Lineage: Bacteria; Candidatus Microgenomatota
Description: tRNA-Ala
Rfam family: tRNA
About the family: Transfer RNA (tRNA) molecules are approximately 80 nucleotides in length. Their secondary structure includes four short double-helical elements and three loops (D, anti-codon, and T loops). Further hydrogen bonds mediate the characteristic L-shaped molecular structure. tRNAs have two regions of fundamental functional importance: the anti-codon, which is responsible for specific mRNA codon recognition, and the 3' end, to which the tRNAs corresponding amino acid is attached (by aminoacyl-tRNA synthetases). tRNAs cope with the degeneracy of the genetic code in two manners: having more than one tRNA (with a specific anti-codon) for a particular amino acid; and 'wobble' base-pairing, i.e. permitting non-standard base-pairing at the 3rd anti-codon position.
Source: RNAcentral